RNAcentral lists this non-coding RNA (300 nucleotides) under Lentibacillus amyloliquefaciens. RNAcentral describes it as "T-box sequence". It matches the Rfam family "T-box leader". From Rfam's summary of the family: Uncharged tRNA acts as the effector for transcription antitermination of genes in the T-box leader family. The record is from RNAcentral. Lineage: Bacteria; Bacillati; Bacillota; Bacilli; Caryophanales; Bacillaceae.
UGAAAACCUUUGAAGGAAACAGUAAUCAGACCACUUAUGAACAGAGAGAAGAUGUCAUUGGCUGGAAACAUGUUCACAUAAGCUCUGAUGAAUGACAUUCCCCAGGUUCUAUUCCGAACAAAGACUUGAAAGCUGAAAAGUGGAAAGCAUGUUGAUAGUUGAUUCAACUUCUGCUGCCCACCUUCUCCUUUCUGAUGAAUUUCAGUAGGUAUAGACGUUUUGCAGGCGUUAACUGUGCAGAGCGGAUGUUGUAAAAGACAUCAACCAGGGUGGCAACGCGGGUAAGCUCCCGUCCCUUAU